Molecule: long non-coding RNA, 596 nt
Organism: Gopherus flavomarginatus (Mexican gopher tortoise)
Lineage: Eukaryota; Metazoa; Chordata; Testudines; Testudinidae
Exons: 4
Source: RefSeq, a predicted model, not a curated record
GUCAUCAGGUGUAGACACUCACCAGCGUUUUUGUUGACCUCCGUGGAAUAAGCAGGUAUCCCAGCAUACCUGAGGAAGCCUCUCCGGUAAUCAAGCAAACUCCACUGCCCUCCAAGCAGGUCUCCUUCCCCGCGGUGUGCUCUGGCGUUCCCCGACCCCCCCUCCAAGCAGGUCUCCUUCCCCGCGGUGUGCUCUGGCGUUCCCCGACCCCCCCUCCAAGCAGGUCUCCUUCCCCGCGGUGUGCUCUGGCGUUCCCCGACCCCCCCUCCAAGCAGGUCUCCUUCCCCGCGGUGUGCUCUGGCGUUCCCCGACCCCCUCUCCAAGCAGGUCUCCUUCCCCGCGGUGUGCUCUGGCGUUCCCCGACCCCCCCUCCAAGCAGGUAUCCAGCCCCGCGGUGUGCUCUGGCGUUCCCCGACCCCCCCUCCAAGCAGGUCUCCUUCCCCGCGGUGUGCAACAGCGCUGCAGCGUGGCCACAUCUAACACCACUUGCAGCGCUGGUUGCUGUAAGUGUGGCCACUCUGCAGCGCUGGCCCUAUACAGCUGUACUAAUACAGCUGUAACAACCAGCGCUGCAAAAUUGUAGAUGUAGACAUACC